AAAAAGGAUCAAGGAACCAGUUUGGGUUUA
RNAcentral lists this non-coding RNA (30 nucleotides) under Cricetulus griseus (Chinese hamster). Lineage: Eukaryota; Metazoa; Chordata; Mammalia; Rodentia; Cricetidae. The record is from RNAcentral.